Molecule: ribosomal RNA, 423 nt
Filed under: uncultured bacterium
Lineage: Bacteria
Description: bacterial SSU rRNA
Rfam family: Bacterial small subunit ribosomal RNA
Source: RNAcentral
GGAAUAUUGGACAAUGGGCGCAAGCCUGAUCCAGCCAUGCCGCGUGAGUGAAGAAGGCCUUCGGGUUGUAAAGCUCUUUCGGCGGGGACGCAACGGUCCGUGCUAACACCACGGACUACUGACGGUACUCGCAGCAGAAGCACCGGCUAACUACGUGCCCGCAGCCGAGGUAAUAAGUAGGGUGCAGGCGUUAAUCGGAAUUACCGGGCGUAAAGCGUGCGCAGGCGGCUCCUUAAGUCAGAUGUGAAAGCCCCGGGCUUAACCUGGGAACUGCGUUUGAAACUGGGGAGCUAGAGUGUGGAAGAGGGGGGUGGAAUUCCAGGUGUAGCAGUGAAAUGCGUAGAGAUCUGGAGGAACACCGAUGGCGAAGGCAGCCCCCUGGGCUAACACUGACGCUCAUGCACGAAAGCGUGGGGAGCAAAC